RNAcentral lists this ribosomal RNA (19 nucleotides) under Fusarium verticillioides. RNAcentral's name for it is "partial 18S ribosomal RNA". The record is from RNAcentral. Lineage: Eukaryota; Fungi; Ascomycota; Sordariomycetes; Hypocreales; Nectriaceae.
GAGGCAUCGCGAGUGAACU